This 105-nucleotide ribosomal RNA is filed under the name Puccinia graminis. Its description in RNAcentral is "partial 5.8S ribosomal RNA". It matches the Rfam family "5.8S ribosomal RNA", at positions 47 to 151 of the family's 154-position model. Rfam says of the family: 5.8S ribosomal RNA (5.8S rRNA) is a component of the large subunit of the eukaryotic ribosome. The record is from RNAcentral. Lineage: Eukaryota; Fungi; Basidiomycota; Pucciniomycetes; Pucciniales; Pucciniaceae.
AGUGAAAUGUGAUAAGUAAUGUGAAUUGCAGAAUUCAGUGAAUCAUCGAAUCUUUGAACGCAUCUUGCMCCUUUUGGUAUUCCAAAAGGUACACCUGUUUGAGUG